RNAcentral lists this ribosomal RNA (465 nucleotides) under uncultured bacterium. RNAcentral describes it as "partial 16S ribosomal RNA". It matches the Rfam family "Bacterial small subunit ribosomal RNA", at positions 28 to 507 of the family's 1533-position model. The record is from RNAcentral.
GACGAACGCUGGCGGCGUGCUUAACACAUGCAAGUCGAACGGAAAGGCCCUGCUUGCAGGGUACUCGAGUGGAGAACGGGUGAGUAACACGUGGGUGAUCUGCCCUGCACUUCGGGAUAAGCCUGGGAAACUGGGUCUAAUACCGGAUAGGAGCCAUUUUUAGUGUGAUGGUUGGAAAGUUUUUUCGGUGUAGGAUGAGCUCGCGGCCUAUCAGCUUGUUGGUGGGGUAAUGGCCUACCAAGGCGGCGACGGGUAGCCGGCCUGAGAGGGUGGACGGCCACAUUGGGACUGAGAUACGGCCCAGACUCCUACGGGAGGCAGCAGUGGGGAAUAUUGCACAAUGGGCGCAAGCCUGAUGCAGCGACGCCGCGUGGGGGAUGACGGCCUUCGGGUUGUAAACUCCUUUCGCUAGGGACGAAGCUUUUUGUGACGGUACCUAGAGAAGAAGCACCGGCUAACUACGUG